RNAcentral lists this transfer RNA (57 nucleotides) under Ovis aries (sheep). It matches the Rfam family "tRNA", at positions 8 to 63 of the family's 71-position model. Rfam says of the family: Transfer RNA (tRNA) molecules are approximately 80 nucleotides in length. Their secondary structure includes four short double-helical elements and three loops (D, anti-codon, and T loops). Further hydrogen bonds mediate the characteristic L-shaped molecular structure. tRNAs have two regions of fundamental functional importance: the anti-codon, which is responsible for specific mRNA codon recognition, and the 3' end, to which the tRNAs corresponding amino acid is attached (by aminoacyl-tRNA synthetases). tRNAs cope with the degeneracy of the genetic code in two manners: having more than one tRNA (with a specific anti-codon) for a particular amino acid; and 'wobble' base-pairing, i.e. permitting non-standard base-pairing at the 3rd anti-codon position. The record is from Rfam by way of RNAcentral. Lineage: Eukaryota; Metazoa; Chordata; Mammalia; Artiodactyla; Bovidae.
UGGCUCAGACCGUAAAGCGUCUGCCUACAAUGCAGGAGACCCAGGUUCAAUCCCUGG